This 236-nucleotide unclassified non-coding RNA is filed under the name Ascomycota sp. Its description in RNAcentral is "partial contains small subunit ribosomal RNA, internal transcribed spacer 1, and 5.8S ribosomal RNA". The stretch from base 1 to 47 matches the Rfam family "Eukaryotic small subunit ribosomal RNA", at positions 1785 to 1831 of the family's 1831-position model. Lineage: Eukaryota; Fungi; Ascomycota. The record is from RNAcentral.
AAAGUCGUAACAAGGUUUCCGUAGGUGAACCUGCGGAAGGAUCAUUACCGAGUUCAUGCCCUCACGGGUAGAUCUCCCACCCUUUGUUUACCACACCUUCGUUGCUUUGGCGGGCCGCCUAGCUACCGGCUUCGGCUGGUAAGUGCCCGCCAGAGGACCCAACAAACCUGUUUUAUAGUGUCGUCUGAGUAAAAAUUUAAUAUUUAAAACUUUCAACAACGGAUCUCUUGGCUCUG